AGCUUCUUCAUAAAGGUCAUUCCUAUAGGUAAGUCUUUGCUUGCACAUUAUCUUUCUUCUUUACUUGAUGUAGAGGUGCAAAGAGUCAUCUUGUGUCUUCCAUCUUUAAAAGAGAUUUUCCUUGUUACACAAUUAAUUUUUUUAUUUUCCAUCUCUAGCCAUGGAAAACCAAGGAUAACAUCAUACCUUAGCUUUGUCACCUUAAAUCUCUUUCUUAAG
This 219-nucleotide long non-coding RNA is filed under the name Physcomitrium patens. Its description in RNAcentral is "long non-coding RNA (PPAT_LNC008156)". Lineage: Eukaryota; Viridiplantae; Streptophyta; Bryopsida; Funariales; Funariaceae. The record is from RNAcentral.